Molecule: long non-coding RNA, 243 nt
Filed under: Lathyrus oleraceus (garden pea)
Lineage: Eukaryota; Viridiplantae; Streptophyta; Magnoliopsida; Fabales; Fabaceae
Description: Pisum sativum (pea) long non-coding RNA (PSAT_LNC028624)
Source: RNAcentral
UCCAAUCCAUCCAUUAAGAAUAAAAAUUCAUCCAAUCCAUCCAUUAUCAUAUUUUUAGUGGAUGGAUAUCCAUCCAUCAAUUUCUUUUUCCUUUAAAAUUUUUCUUUUUUGAAAAAAAUCACUUAUUUUUUUGAAAAUUUUUUUUCUUUUAUUUUUUUUAAUAAAACAAUAUCAGCUUUUUUCGAGAAAAAUCAUUUUUUCAAAAAAAAAUAUAUUUUUGUAUUUUCGAAAAAAAUAAUUUAA